UCUGGAUGAGAAAACUAAUCACAAUAUUAAGAGAGCCCUAUCUAAAUUAGUUAACGAUAAACAGAAUAACUGGGACAUAUACUUGGAAACCACAUUAUUUUUGCUCUGUUCAAAGGUCCACACAACAACAAAAUAUUCUCCAUUUGUUCUAAUGUAUGGGAGGGAGGCAGUUUUUCCUGUAGAAGUCCCUGUGGAUCUGCCAGUGCAAUGUAAGAUACCCUGAGGUGAACAGGGGUGUACCAGACAGCCACGACAGGAGCUUCAGGAGCUUCGGAGUUCAACUACAUGAAAUGAGACUUGACAACUUCAAACUUUGCAUGAGGACAACCUGCAUCUUUAAAAACCCUAUAGAAAAGCAUUGAGUUACUGAUUUCCGUUGGGAAGCCAAAAUGUGUGCGCAGGACGGACCUGAUGUUGACAGGGCCUGUCAUAGCAAAUAAAUUUACGUUAUUUCUUCUAAGUUAAUAUGCAGUUUAGACUUCAUUUGUAU
This is a long non-coding RNA of Bufo bufo (common toad), 490 nucleotides long. RefSeq lists it as uncharacterized. NCBI's taxonomy places the organism in Eukaryota, Metazoa, Chordata, Amphibia, Anura, Bufonidae. The transcript is spliced from 3 exons. The record is from RefSeq and is a predicted model, not a curated record.